AGUUUUCGAUCCUGGUCAGAUUAACGCCGCAGAUGCUUAAGACAUGCAAGUCGAACGGCAGCACGGACUUCGGUCUGGGCGGCGAGUGGCGAACGGGUGAGUAAUGUAUCGGAACGUGCCUAGUAGCGGAGAUAACUACAAAGUAGCUAAUACUGCAUACGCCCUCGGGGAAAGCGGGGUAUCUUCGGGCCUCGCACUAUUAGAGCGGCCGAUAUCGGAUUAGCUAGUUGGUGGGGUAACGGCUCGGGCACGAUCCUGCGUCAGCUGGAGGACGACGGGAGCCACACUGGGACUGGAGACACGGCCCAGACUCCUACGGGAGGCAGCAGUGGGGAAUUUUGGACAAUGGGGAAACCCUGAUCCAGCCAUCCUGCUGCAGACAUGAUGCCUCUGGCGUUGUAAAAGCACUUCCUUGGCAGGAAAGAAACGGCACGCAUAACGCAACUGACGGUACCUGCAAUAAGCACCGGCUAACUACGCCAGCAGCCGCGGUAAUACGUAGGGUGCAAGCGUUAAUCGGAAUUACCUGGCGUAGCGUGCGCAGGCGUUCCGAAAGAAAGAUGUGAAAUCCCAGAGCUUAACUUUCUGGAACUGUUAUUUUAACUACCGAGCUAGAGUGUGUCAGAGGGAGGUGGAAUUCCGCGUGUAGCAGCGAACAGUGUAGAUAUGCGGAGGAACACCGAUGGCGAAGGCAGCCUCCUGGGAUAACACUGACGCUCAUGCACGAAAGCGUGGGGAGCAAACAGGAUUGUAUGCCCUGGUAGUCCACGCCCUAAACGAUGUCAACUAGUCGUUGGGGCCUUCGUAUCGGUAGCGCAGCUAACGGGCAAGUAGUUGACCGCCUGGGGAGUACGGUCGCAAAGAUUAAAACUCAAAGGAAUUGACGGGGACUGCACAAGCGGUGGAUGAUGUGGAUUGGCAUGGGAAUUUACACCGCGAAAACCUACCUACCCUUUAAUAUCUGGAACUCCGAACGAGAUUUCAGAGUGCUCGCAAGAGAACCGGAACACAGGUGCUUAUGGCUGUCAGUCACUGUGUCGUGAGAUGUUGGGUUAAGUCCCGCAACGAGCGCAACUCCCUUGUCAUUAGUUGCUACGAAAGGGCACUCUAUCGAGACUGCCGGUGACAAACCGGAGGAAGGUGGGGAUGACGUCAAGUCCUCGGCCCUCCAUGGGUAGGGCUUCACACUGCGCAAUGGUCGGGACAGAGGGUCGCCAACCCGCGAGGGGUAUUUCAUCCAGAAACCCGAUCGUAGUCCGGAUCGCAGUCUGCAACUCGACUGCGUGAAGUCGGACCGAAUCGCGGAUCAGCAUGUCGCGGUGAAUACGUUCCCGGGUCUUGCAGCACACCGCCCGUCACACCAUGGGAGUGGGUUUACCAGAAGUAGUUAGCCUAACCGUAAGGAGGGCGAUUACCACGGUAGGAUUCACAUCGGGGUGAAGUCGUAACAAGGUGG
This 1456-nucleotide ribosomal RNA is filed under the name uncultured Bordetella sp. RNAcentral describes it as "partial 16S-23S ribosomal RNA intergenic spacer". It matches the Rfam family "Bacterial small subunit ribosomal RNA". The record is from RNAcentral. Lineage: Bacteria; Pseudomonadati; Pseudomonadota; Betaproteobacteria; Burkholderiales; Alcaligenaceae.